GAUGAAGAACGUAGCGAAAUGCGAUAAGUAAUGUGAAUUGCAGAAUUCAGUGAAUCAUCGAAUCUUUGAACGCACAUUGCGCCCGCCAGUAUUCUGGCGAGCAUGCCUGUUCGAGCGUCAUUUCAACCAUCAAGCCCCAGGCUUGUGUUGGAGCCCUGCGGCUGCCGCAGCCUCCCAAAACCAGUGGCGGGCUCGCUAUCACACCGAGUGCAGUAGUUUACUCUUCGCUCAGGGCGUGUGGCGGGUGCUAGCCGUGAAACCCCCAACUUCUCAAGGUUGACCUCGGAUCAGGUAGGAAUACCCGCUGAACUUAAGCAUAUUAAUAAGCGGAGGA
This 334-nucleotide unclassified non-coding RNA is filed under the name soil metagenome. RNAcentral describes it as "partial contains 5.8S ribosomal RNA, internal transcribed spacer 2, and large subunit ribosomal RNA". The stretch from base 1 to 120 matches the Rfam family "5.8S ribosomal RNA", at positions 35 to 154 of the family's 154-position model. The record is from RNAcentral.